GAGGAACUUCCACAACAACCAAAUGCCCAUCUGUGUCCAGUUUCAAGUUGGACUGAGCCAAAAACUUCACAUCAAGAAACUCUUUAGCAGACACACUCUCCUCACCAGCAAAUGAAACCCCAAACCAUUCAAAAACUCUUGUCAACAUCAAACCAUAAGGCAAGCCACCAGAAGACUUACCUUCCACAGAAUCCAUCAUAUUUUUAAGAAUCAAAUCAGGCAAAUCAAAUUUCCUCCCAGCAAGAAUCAUGGAAACAACAACAAUAUCCUGUGAUGACAAAUUUGACCGAGUACCUAGCCUAGGACUCACAUUUUCAAUUGACAAUUUGAACAGUGCUUGUGCUAGUGGAACUAACUGUGUAGUUGAUGGAAAAACACC
This 379-nucleotide long non-coding RNA is filed under the name Daucus carota (carrot). RNAcentral's name for it is "long non-coding RNA (DCAR_LNC001571)". Lineage: Eukaryota; Viridiplantae; Streptophyta; Magnoliopsida; Apiales; Apiaceae. The record is from RNAcentral.